AUCCAGCUGACCAGUCCCAAACAGGACGAAAUGUGCAUCCUCGAU
This 45-nucleotide non-coding RNA is filed under the name Trichobilharzia regenti. Lineage: Eukaryota; Metazoa; Platyhelminthes; Trematoda; Strigeidida; Schistosomatidae. The record is from RNAcentral.